CAACCGAAUGCACCUGCUUCCAGUUUCCACCUGCCGUCGACUUCACACCGUCACUGAGCAAACAUGGAGGGAUGUGCCGACGUGAGAGACCUCUGAAUUGACAUAACAGUUUGAGUGAAUUUGCAUGUGCUCAUUCUAUGAUUUUAUCUGCAGAUCUAUUUGAGCUGCUUGUGUGUAUUUUCUCCUCUUGCUAGACAGUGAGUCAGAGUCUUUCCAGACUGGGGCUUUUAGAUUCCCAUGGCUCCUCUGCUGUAAGUCAGUAAGGCAAACUACUAGUCAGUUUCCUGCCAGUCCCUCAGUCGGCGUGUGGGGGCCGAGGCUCGGUGAAGAGUGAGGUAAGCUGUUCCACUAACCCUUCCUGAUUUUGAGUCAGGGAAAUGUGCUCGAGGCAACUGCGGCAUCUUCUGCAGCGGGUUGCACCGACUAACCUCAAUGCCUAAAUGAUUCUGGAGCACAAACCAGGCUCUUCAGACAAAGUAGGUUUCACGUAAGCCUAAUGAUGGAGGUUGGCUUGUGAUUGUUGAAGGGGACCUACUGUUCGCAACAAGCAGGUCAAGCUCUGGGCUAAAAGAAAUAUUUUUCUAAAUAUUUUUCGAUUUAAUUCCGCCUUCCAGUGUGGUGUUUGUUUUACCACCAGCUGCGUAGUCUUGUUCAGUCCAUAGAAGUUUACAUUUGUCUGAGAUGAAACUGCAGCUCUUCAGGCGUCUUCUACAGAACCAAAAACACAACACGCUCCCUUUCUUGUUCCUUGGGGAGAGCAGAGGCCUGGAUGUGAAAUCUGAGAGCAUUUUCCUGCUGUGUGCUUUACAGUGCCAGAGCACUCACUGUAAUUUACCAAAAGUGGCUGCUAUUUAUGCCAUAAAGCAUGUGUUUAACAUUCCUGAACCCCGCUGUGUUUGUGUAUUCCUUGCUCUCUCCCACUCACUCUCUCGGCUGUAUUUCUGUUUAUAUGUGUGUGUCUGUGUGUGUAUUAAGUGGAAACGGUCCCUUCAGAGCGGCAGGCCUUUCCCUCCUCACAGAAGGAUCAUCUCUUUCUCUCGGAGACAAGGCCAACAGGAAGUGGGAGUUUACAUUGGCCUACUUUACCACCACCCCCCACCCCAAAAAAAAGCUGCCUUUUAGGAUGAAAAGCUGCAAAGAUCAAGUGCUUCAUGAGCUGCACUUUGCCACCACCAGCGACACAUCCCAUCCCCCCCUUUCAGCUGUCCCACCCAUGGCUGGUGUCUUACCAAGCUUUCGGGGUGGAGUUGGGUGACCGAGAACUUAAAAGUGGCCUUCGCUGGAGCAGGAGUCUGUGCUCAAGAACCUGGAGAAAACGCUCCCAGGAAAAGCUCUCUUUCCCUCAUUGUGGCUCAGUGGCAGACGUACCAGUUUGGGGAACCGCAGGCGUACAAUAACAUGGGGCCGUCUGCAGCAUUUGUAUUACGGUAAUAAUUUUUCUAA
Non-coding RNA from Oryzias latipes (Japanese medaka), 1443 nucleotides. Lineage: Eukaryota; Metazoa; Chordata; Actinopteri; Beloniformes; Adrianichthyidae. The record is from RefSeq and is a predicted model, not a curated record.